This 1395-nucleotide long non-coding RNA is filed under the name Olea europaea (common olive). RNAcentral describes it as "long non-coding RNA (OEUR_LNC007826)". The record is from RNAcentral. Lineage: Eukaryota; Viridiplantae; Streptophyta; Magnoliopsida; Lamiales; Oleaceae.
CUAUAUUGUGUACUGAUCUUUUUUUCUUUUCAACUCGACUUCCUCUCAGCUUCCAAAAUUCUCCAGCGAUCAGCGCAAAGUGACGAAAAUUUGAAAUCUACUGCGAAACCCCAAUCUCUCCGCUUCUCGUAGACUCGCAUGCCGAAUUCCAUUUUAUAUCUUCUGAGGUCUUUUUCUCCUCUCUGUGCGCCGCCAUUAAUUGCUCUAUUUAACUGUUAAGUUCAUGAGGAGGUGGACUUGCAAGUCUUGCAUUUUCAUCCACCAAAUUACUGAAAGAGGACUUGGAUUUAUUUAUUUGUAUUUUUUAUUUUUGUUCUUUUUUCUAACUUUCUAUGUGCUGAAUCUGCUGAUUGGUACAUUUUAUUCUCUUUUCGGAUCAUCAUUUUCGUAAGUAAAAUGGUUUAAUAGAUGUCUCUGCUUUGCUUGAUUACUUCCAUUUCAUCCCAAAUCACUGAAAUCAGCGCGAACCGUAGGUUUUUGACAUUUUGUUCUCCAAAUCAAUUUCUGCAAUUGGGAAAUGGAAAGUUGCAUCCUCGUCGUAGUAUUUUCCAACAAGGAGUCUCUCAUUUGAAAUUGACAUUUGAAGAACAAUUAUGGUUGGUUUAGCUGGUAUCUGGAAGUUGUAGGGAACACAUGUUCUUGAUGCCCAUUUUUGAAUUGUAGUGGUCCUUUUUUUUUUUUUUUUUUUUUUUUUUUUUUUUUUUUUUUUUUUUUUUGGCAUAUUGUUACUUGUUAGCGUAAAGAAGUAGGGAUAUAGGUGUGGGGAUGUUAGGAUGUUGGUGUAUUGUUAGUGUGGAGAUGUACUGAUGUAGAGUUUGUUCUAGUUUAUAAAUUCCAGUUUGUAAUUGAAUGGCGAAAUAGGAAUUCCAGUUUAUGAUUGGGCAGUUUGUUGGUGUACUGUUAUGUGAAGGUUUGAUUUAUGGAGUUUCGUUGUUUGAAUUGACAGUGUAGUUUAUGACUGCUGUGAAGUGUGAACUUAUUGCAGGUUAUUUUUCCUAAUUUUUGAACUGGCUAUGAAAAUCAUAAGCAGUGUUAACCAAUGAUGCACUUCAAGUUUUCAAGAAACAAUGCAUUUCUUCAUCAUUUAUGUUGGUAUUGCUCGGGUGUAGUUUAAAUGUUAUUUGGUCAUUUCUUGCAGGUUGAUUGUUGAACUCCUUCUGUUAUGACCCACUCACUCAUAGUCAAAGUCAAGAAAAUUAUUUACUCAAAGUCCAAAAUUCAAUUGGUCAAAGUCAAUCUCAAAUAGAGAUUUAAAUGAAAUAAAUUAUUUUAUUGGGGUUUAAUUUAUUAUGAAAAAUAGUUAAAGGUUUGAAAUGGAUAAAACUUAAUUUUAGGGAUCUACUUAUAUAUUAUUGGAAGUAAAGGACUAGAUGUUAUAUUAAAUUGAAGAAUAAG